UGGCUCAGAACGAACGCUGGCGGCAGGCUUAACACAUGCAAGUCGAACGCCCCGCAAGGGGAGUGGCAGACGGGUGAGUAACACGUGGGAACGUGCCCAAAGGUUCGGAAUAUUCCCGGGAAACUGGGAGCAAUACCGAAUGUGUCCGCAAGGAGAAAGAUUUAUCGCCUUUGGAUCGGCCCGCGUCGGAUUAGCUAGUUGGUGUUGUAAAAGCCUACCAGGGGAAAGAUCAGUAGCUGGUCUGAGAGGAUGAUCAGCCACA
RNAcentral lists this ribosomal RNA (262 nucleotides) under uncultured Alphaproteobacteria bacterium. RNAcentral describes it as "partial 16S ribosomal RNA". It matches the Rfam family "Bacterial small subunit ribosomal RNA", at positions 20 to 312 of the family's 1533-position model. The record is from RNAcentral. Lineage: Bacteria; Pseudomonadati; Pseudomonadota; Alphaproteobacteria.